Cucumis melo (muskmelon) is the source of this 839-nucleotide long non-coding RNA. RefSeq lists it as uncharacterized. The transcript is spliced from 3 exons. The record is from RefSeq and is a predicted model, not a curated record. NCBI's taxonomy places the organism in Eukaryota, Viridiplantae, Streptophyta, Magnoliopsida, Cucurbitales, Cucurbitaceae.
AAGAGGGGAAAAGAAAAGAGAAAAAGGGAGAAAAAAAAAUUAAAACCCUAGCCGCCGCACGCCGCCGCCGCCGCGAACCCAAGCCGCCAAGCCUUCCCCUUUCUGUUCAGCAGCGCAGCCGAGUCUGCAGUCCACCCGAGCCGUCGCCGAGCUUCCAGCCACGUCGGAAGAUUCGUCCAAGCUGAUCCGCGCACGCCGAGCGUCCGCCGGUGCAGCCCGUCUCUCGCAGCCGUCGCCCGAAGCCGAGCCUGCGUCACCCUUCGCGAUCCGCAGCCGAUUCGUCAGCCAGCCGUGUCGCGCCGCUUCGAUCUGACGCAGCGUAGCCGUCGCCGAGCGAAGCCGUGGUGUAGCCAGACUACCCGCAGCCGUCGCGCCACCCGAAUCCGGAAGCUAGCACCUCGUUGCGCGAGGACCCGACCCGACCGAAGCCCCCGCUCCGUGACCCGAAGCCCGGCCCGUGCCGCGUGCCUCCGACUCGGAACCCAAACUGCGUGCACCCGUGAGCCGAGCAGUGCCCGCGUGCGAGCCGCACGUGCGUAGCCUCUAUACCGAGCCGAGCCGCGUCUGUCUGCACCAAGAGCCGCGCCUGUCUGCGUCGCGAGCCGAGCCGAUCUUCAACCUCCAAGCCGAGCCGGUCCCUGUCCUUUUUCCAGCCGAGCCGCCAAGCCUAAUUUGACUCCUUCCAUCCAAUUUUUGGGACGUCUUGGACCAAGUAACUGCUGCAGCGUGGGAUUUCUUCAGUAGGGGCUCAAGCAUUGCAACCUCUUUCUAGGUUAGGACCUCGUUGCUUGGAAAGCACACUUGCCUCGCGGUUAGAACUCGCCAAGUAAAUCUUCAGG